GUGCAAGGAGGUGAUCCACCCCCUAGAGUUUAAGCAUACGGAUUGCACCAUACCUUGAGUGCCUACCAAGUUGUCAAUAUCCUAUUAUC
This 89-nucleotide ribosomal RNA is filed under the name Anopheles subpictus. Its description in RNAcentral is "partial 5.8S ribosomal RNA". Lineage: Eukaryota; Metazoa; Arthropoda; Insecta; Diptera; Culicidae. The record is from RNAcentral.